UCUCCUGGAAACGGGUGGUAAUGCCGGAUGCUCCAGUUGAUCGCAUGGUCUUCUGGGAAAGCUUUCGCGGUAUGGGAUGGGGUCGCGUCCUAUCAGCUUGACGGCGGGGUAACGGCCCACCGUGGCUUCGACGGGUAGCCGGCCUGAGAGGGCGACCGGCCACAUUGGGACUGAGAUACGGCCCAGACUCCUACGGGAGGCAGCAGUGGGGAAUAUUGCACAAUGGGCGCAAGCCUGAUGCAGCGACGCCGCGUGAGGGAUGGAGGCCUUCGGGUUGUAAACCUCUUUUAUCGGGGAGCAAGCGAGAGUGAGUUUACCCGUUGAAUAAGCACCGGCUAACUACGUGCCAGCAGCCGCGGUAAUACGUAGGGUGCAAGCGUUAUCCGGAAUUAUUGGGCGUAAAGGGCUCGUAGGCGGUUCGUCGCGUCCGGUGUGAAAGUCCAUCGCUUAACGGUGGAUCCGCGCCGGGUACGGGCGGGCUUGAGUGCGGUAGGGGAGACUGGAAUUCCCGGUGUAACGGUGGAAUGUGUAGAUAUCGGAAAGAACACCA
Molecule: ribosomal RNA, 550 nt
Filed under: Bifidobacterium longum subsp. infantis
Lineage: Bacteria; Bacillati; Actinomycetota; Actinomycetes; Bifidobacteriales; Bifidobacteriaceae
Also listed under: 2 other names
Description: bacterial SSU rRNA
Rfam family: Bacterial small subunit ribosomal RNA
Source: RNAcentral